Molecule: ribosomal RNA, 301 nt
Filed under: uncultured bacterium
Lineage: Bacteria
Description: partial 16S ribosomal RNA
Rfam family: Bacterial small subunit ribosomal RNA
Source: RNAcentral
CAGCAGCCGCGGGAAUACGUAGGGUGCAAGCGUUAAUCGGAAUUACUGGGCGUAAAGCGUGCGCAGGCGGUUAUAUAAGACAGAUGUGAAAUCACCGGGCUAAACCUGGGAACUGCAUUUGUGACUGUAUAGCUAGAGUACGGCAGAGGGGGAUGGAAUUCCGCGUGUAGCAGUGAAAUGCGUAGAUAUGCGGAGGAACGCCGAUGGCGAAGGCAAUCCCCUGGGCCUGUACUGACGCUCAUGCACGAAAGCGUGGGGAGCAAACAGGAUUAGAUACCCGCGUAGUCCCUGUCUCUUAUAC